Long non-coding RNA from Apis florea (little honeybee), 1207 nucleotides. The record is from RefSeq and is a predicted model, not a curated record. Lineage: Eukaryota; Metazoa; Arthropoda; Insecta; Hymenoptera; Apidae.
AUCAACGUGUUUUCGUUGUAUCAAUUCAUAUGUUAUCUCGAAAAGUUUAAAUUAUAAUUUUUCUUACUACUCCAUUCUGUUUGUAUUAAAAUUUUAAUUGUAAAAAUGUAGGAGCUCUAAAUUAAAUUUAAGACCAUAAAAUAAAAAUUGAAAUUCAAUUUGCGAUUCCAGAAUGUAAUUACUUUAUUUUGAUAUUCGAUUUAGAUCAGAAUUAAUGUCUAACUUAAAUGAAUCAUUGGAGAACAUUAUGAACCGAUAAGCUUUCAAGUCAUUAAAAUUUUCUACAGGAUGUCACUCACCAUGAGGAAGACCAUUUUUAACACUGUGAACUUGAAUCGUUUUCUCGGUCUGUUUGACAAUACAAUUAGUUAUACGCGUUACAUGAAUUGAUCGCAAUAUUCUGGUGGAAGAAGGAAUUGAAUUAAAACGGGGGCACACGAGUUUCCUUAAACACUGUUCAUGUCACCGCACCGGAUGUCGUGGGGUCGAACACCUCCGUCCUCACAGGUGGAUGUCCAGAGGUUGACUGUAGAAUCGUAAGUAACCAUUCUCUGUGCUCUGGUAGAGCCAAGGAAAAAGAGGGGAUGAGACGAGGAAUAUCGGCCCCUAUUCUACCUCGAAACUUUUUUUUCUUUUAUUGAAGAAAAAGUUUGAAGAGAAAAAGGGUAACUAAGAACGCCCCUCUUUUUCUUUUAUAUUUCAUCAAAAAGUUUCUAUCUAAUGUUUGCAUCUUCAUCGGAAUUAUUAUUUUUUAUAUAAAAAGAUUAUAAUCAUUUAUGAAUUAUAAAAAAUAUUAACAUAAUAUUUACGGAGAUAUCAAGAUUAAAAUAAUAAUAUAACAAUGAUAAAUUGUUUUUAUAAUUAUUUCGUGAUAAUGUAUGACAAGGUAUACGUGUUUUUAAACGAACAAUGAUAAGAAUUCAACAAAUACCCAAAAUUGUGUUGAUACUGUUUUUUUAUUUAAUCUGAUUGCCAAUUAGAUCGAAUUGUUUGCGUAUAAAUUAAUUAUAAAAUUUCUUUGAAUAUUAACUGUUACACAUAUAAACAUUAGUUUGCAAAUUGUAUUUUAUAAUUUGAAUUUUUGACCAGAAUUCAUUGUGAUUGUGAACAAUUUGACAUUAUCGUAAGUUCUUAUUAUUAAUUAUAAAAAAGCAAUGUCAAAACACAUUUCUAUUGAAAACUGAACACCGUUAAGAAUGUAUCUUCA